This is a long non-coding RNA of Hippocampus comes (tiger tail seahorse), 1150 nucleotides long. RefSeq lists it as uncharacterized. NCBI's taxonomy places the organism in Eukaryota, Metazoa, Chordata, Actinopteri, Syngnathiformes, Syngnathidae. The transcript is spliced from 4 exons. The record is from RefSeq and is a predicted model, not a curated record.
AUUAACUCCAAUAAAUUAAAACCCAUCAAAAUAUGGAGUGACGUCUCAUUUAACCAAUCAAAAGUUGACCUUCAAAGCUUUUCUCUGAUUGGCUGAACGCCGAUCCAAGUUUGUGAUCAGCACCUGCUGUUAUCAUCAUUGUUUGACUUGAAUUGCUAGCUAGCUUGUUUCUUUCGAGUUCUCAGGUAAAUUAGCAUGGUGGAAAGGGAAUUAUUGUCGAAAAUUAAACAAAUAAAACUCUACUACAGCUUUAUUGAACCAAGCAGUAGAAGGUUGCUGUUUUUUUUUCUUCAAUUAACUAUCAUCUUGGCUAAGACAGGGGAAGCACAAGUACUCGUGGAGAACAACAAGGAGAAAAAAAAAAGUCUUCAACGACUUUGAGGAGUCCCGUAAACGCCGCUGAUGGCCUCCAGGACAAAUGGUCACAAGCUCUGCGGAGCCAGCGUGGAACAAUUGGCCACCUGGGAAAAUUAGGAGGAGGCGAGGACGCGGCGAGGAUGAGGAGGCGGAGGAGGAAGAGCUGAGCGGAGCUGAGGUGGGGACGGACUAAUUGGGCAGAGAAGAAGCCGUAUCAAGUUGCUGCUAAGGAGCGAAGCUAAAGAUGCAGCAUUCUUUGGCCACAAUCGUCGUAGCGCCGCGCGCGCCCAUGGUCGACUCUCGCUGGACCGCGUCGCAAGAUCGUUCCACCCCUUGAGAGAUAAGUCAAUACGGGAAAGCAGAGGAUGAUAAAAGGACAUUAACGUUUAUUAAAGCUCAGCCGGCUGGAUUAAAGUUCCCGCAUGUCAUGAGAUCAAAGCUCUUGACUUCAUUGAACUCGCAUCCGACGGGCCGAAUGAAAAGGUCUCCAGGUGGCGAGAAAACGUUUUCAUUCACCUCAUUUGCAUCCAAGCAACUUGACGUUUCUCUUCUUUUCUUUUGAAAAGACUGAAAGAUGGUGGUCUGUGGGGUUGGGGGGAGGGGGGAUGAAGGUCAAACGAAUGAGGCCUUGUCAGUUAUUCCAUGCGCUGCUUCGUCAUCAUGCUAAUUCAGACAUGCACGGCGCUUGACGUUUUCUUUUGUUUCGCAUGUCUUUAGCGUCGUCGUCGGAAGCCGAGUCCACAAGGCGAUGCGCGCUUCCCACUCGGUCCGUCUUUGUGUCACCGCUGGCGUU